RNAcentral lists this ribosomal RNA (443 nucleotides) under uncultured bacterium. RNAcentral describes it as "partial 16S ribosomal RNA". It matches the Rfam family "Bacterial small subunit ribosomal RNA", at positions 338 to 795 of the family's 1533-position model. The record is from RNAcentral.
CCUACGGGGGGCAGCAGUGGGGAAUAUUGCACAAUGGGCGAAAGCCUGAUGCAGCAACGCCGCGUGAAGGAAGAAGGGUUUCGGCUCGUAAACUUCUAUCAACAGGGACGAAAGAAAUGACGGUACCUGAAUAAGAAGCUCCGGCUAACUACGUGCCAGCCUCCGCCGUAAUACGUAGGGGGCAAGCGUUAUCCGGAAUUACUGGGGGUAAAGGGUGAGUAGGCGGCAUGGUAAGCCAGAUGUGAAAGGCUUGGGCUUAAACCGAGGAUAGCAUUUGGAACUAGCGAGCUAGAGUACAGGAGAGGAAAGCGGAAUGCCUAGUGUAGCGGUGAAAUGCGUAGAUAUUAGGAAGAACACCAGUGGCGAAGGCAGCUUUCUGGACUGAAACUGACGCUGAGGCACGAAAGCGUGGGGAGCGAACAGGAUUAGAUACCCUUGUAGUC